CAUGCUCAGCACACAAUGCCCCACACCCUGGAGUUCAAGCCUCAUCAGAAAAGCCAAAAGGUGGGGUUGGGGAUUUAGCUCAGUGGUAGAGCCCUGGUGUAAGGCCCUGGGUUCAGUCCCCAGCUCCGAAAAAAAGAAAAAAAAAAAAAAGCCAAAAGAUGCUGUCUCUAACAGUCACUUUUUCAUGUGUAUGACAAAAUACAAACUACUUAAGGAAUCGUGUGUGUGUGUGUGUGUGUGUCUGUCUGUCUGUCUGUCUGUAUAUCUGUGUGACAGUGUGUGUCUGUGUGUCUAUGUGUGUCUGUCUGUCUAUGUGUGUCUGUCUAUGUGUGUGUGUGUGUGUGUGUGUGUGUGCCUGUGUGUCUGUCUAUGUGUGUGUGUGUGCCUGUGGGGGUGGGGUGGGGGGUGUGUGUAUGUGUAAUCCAGGCAAGAGUUUGAAACCACAUUGUACGCGCAGUCAGGAAGCAGGCAGGCAAUUGCUGAUGCUUCACCCACUUUCUCUUAUUUGGGGGAGUGGGGGCGGGUGGAAACAUUUCUCUCUGUAGCCCUGGCUGUCCUGGAACUUGCUCUGUAGAGCAGGCUAACCUCAAACUCAGGGAUAGACCUGCCCCUGCCUCCUGAGUGCUAGGACUAAAGGCAUGGACCACCACACACAGACACUUUCGACUUUUUAAUUCAUCCAGGACUCCAGCACGUGGGAUACUGCCACCCACACUAGGGGUGGGAGGGAUCUUGUCACCCCAGCUAACACAGUCUAGACCUACUGCUCUCACCCUGUGGGUCUAGACCCCUUGGGGGGCUGGGUGUCAAACAACCUUUUCACAGGGGUCACAUAUCAGAUAUUUACAAUCUGUAACAGUAGCAAAAUUACCUAACAACAAAAGGUCAUGGUUGGGGUCACCACAACAUGAGGAACUGUAUUAAAGGGUCGCAGCAUCAGGAAGGUUGAGAACUGCAGCUCUAGGCCAACCAUCUUAUGCUCCUGGGACUUGUCUUUCAGGUGACUCUAGAUCCUGUCUGAUUGACAGUAUUGACCAUCUGACCAUCACACCUUAAGAUGCCAAGGACCAGUUACAGAUGGGUCACCUGUCGUGGAAAUGCAGAACCAAGCUUGUCUCUAGUUUAAUGAAGCCAGGAUGAACCAGGGGGAGGAAUGAGGGCUGGAAGGAUGGGAUGUGUGCUUCAAGAGUAUAUAAGUAAGGGAGGCAUUUUAGAAUUGGGUUUUGAAGAAUGAGUAGGAGUCCCUUAGGCAGCACAGAAAUUCAUGGAUAAACCCGUAGCUAUAAAACCCAGGAUGGGGCAGAGACUCAAUGGGGGUCGGGGGUUUGUGUUCACUGUAGGAAGAGAUAAGGCUUUUCUGGAAAGGGCAGGUGAUAUAAUCGGGAACCUGGGCAUCAGAGAACAGUUUGGUGGCUUGUGUACCGUUAAAGAAUAAAGGAAGUAAGAGUGGGGGUUGGGGAUUUAGCUCAGUGGUAGAGCACUUGCCUCGCAAGCGCAAGGCCCUGCGUUCGGUCCCCAGCUCCGAAAAAAAAAAAAAAACAAAACCGCUAAAAGGAAGUAAGAGUGUUUAUUUUUGCAGCGACACAAAGUUGCUAUGAGGCGAUCAAUACAUGAAUUUUGCAUAAUGAACUCCUCCUAUUUAGUCUUCGAAACGCAGACUUGUGUCAUGGCGGUGGAGGCAGCAGUAGUUCAAGGCCAGCCUUGGCUAUAAGUGAACAAGUCUCAAACAGCUGAGGUUAGACCGGUGUACAUGUACUUGCCUGAGCAGCUUCGCUGACACAGGAUAGGUCACGCCAAGGUCAAGUCCGAGCAGCAGCACCCGCCCAUUCCCAGAAAGCUUUGUGGGAGAGGCAGGUCAACCGGAAGCAACGACCCACGAUUGGCCAGCUCGGCUCAGUGGGCGGGACGCCGCGGGGGAGGCCCGCGAGACUGAUGUGCACUUGCCCAUUGGUUUGCUGAGAGCAGGAAAAGGGCGUGUAAAACGAAACAAGACUUCCGUGUUCGGCUUGAGCGGCGUGCUGCAACGCUUGAGGACAAUUGGUCAUUUCCUUCAAGAGGCGGAGCUUUGGAAUUUUCGAUUGGGCCGUUCUGAAUAGGGCGGUCCUUCGGCGCGGCAUGUGAUUGGCGCGCGGCCCGCUCUCCGGUUGCCGCGGCUUCCUAGUGUCUGUCGCGGCGAUGGCUGCAGGCGGCUGGCGCUGGGCUCGCAAGGCGCUGGCUGCGGGGCGCCCGCUGUUCCAGGGUCGCGCGCUGCUCGUCACCAACACACUGGGCUGCGGCGUGCUCAUGGCCACGGGCGAUGGCGCGCGACAGGCCUGGGAAGUACGCGCGCGGCCUGAGCAGAGAUUCAGCGCGCGGCGCUCAGCCAGCAUGUUCGCGGUGGGCUGCAGCAUGGGCCCCUUCCUACACUUCUGGUACCUGUGGUUGGAUCGCCUCCUCCCCGCCUCGGGCCUACGAAGCCUCCCGAGUGUGAUGAAGAAGGUGCUAGUGGAUCAAACGGUGGCAUCUCCCAUACUAGGCGUCUGGUACUUCCUGGGAGGCAUCGUAUACCCAGGUUGUCUCGAGUUUGCUACCAACUGGCAGUAGCCCAGUUCCCUGCUUCCCAUUUUGAGACAGGCACUCACCAUGUAGUCCCAGCUGGCCUGAACAUCUCUAUGUAAACCAGGCUGGCUCUGCAGCUAAAGAGAUGUGCCUGCCUCUGCCUCCCUGAAUGCUGGGAUUAAGGCCUUGGCAGCCUGGAGGGCCAGACACUGGAGGAGAGCUGCCAGGAGCUGCGGGCCAAAUUCUGGGACUUCUACAAGGCCGACUGGUGCGUGUGGCCAGCUGCCCAGCUGGUGAACUUCCUCUUCAUCCCUUC
This is a non-coding RNA of Rattus norvegicus (Norway rat), 2854 nucleotides long. Lineage: Eukaryota; Metazoa; Chordata; Mammalia; Rodentia; Muridae. The record is from RefSeq and is a predicted model, not a curated record.